RNAcentral lists this ribosomal RNA (493 nucleotides) under uncultured bacterium. RNAcentral's name for it is "bacterial SSU rRNA". It matches the Rfam family "Bacterial small subunit ribosomal RNA", at positions 903 to 1397 of the family's 1533-position model. The record is from RNAcentral.
AAAUGAAUAGACGGGGGCCCGCACAAGCGGUGGAGCAUGUGGUUUAAUUCGACGCAACGCGAAGAACCUUACCAAGGCUUGACAUCCCAAUGACGUUAUCAGAGAUGAUAAUUCCCUUUGGGCAUUGGAGACAGGUGGUGCAUGGUUGUCGUCAGCUCGUGUCGUGAGAUGUUGGGUUAAGUCCCGCAACGAGCGCAACCCUUAUGUUUAGUUGCCAUCAGGUGAAGCUGGGCACACUAGAGAGACUGCCGUGGACAACACGGAGGAAGGUGGGGACGACGUCAAAUCAUCAUGCCCCUUAUGUCUUGGGCUACACACGUGCUACAAUGGGUGAAACAAAGUGAAGCAAAACUGCGAAGUUGAGCAAAUCACAAAAAGCAUCCUCAGUUCGGAUUGCAGUCUGCAACUCGACUGCAUGAAGUUGGAAUCGCUAGUAAUCGCGAAUCAGCAUGUCGCGGUGAAUACGUUCCCGGGCCUUGUACACACCGCCCGU